RNAcentral lists this ribosomal RNA (253 nucleotides) under uncultured bacterium. Its description in RNAcentral is "partial 16S ribosomal RNA". It matches the Rfam family "Bacterial small subunit ribosomal RNA", at positions 524 to 776 of the family's 1533-position model. The record is from RNAcentral.
UACAGAGGGUGCGAGCGUUAAUCGGAAUUACUGGGCGUAAAGCGUGCGUAGACGGUUAUGUAAGUCGGGUGUGAAAGCCCCGGGCUCAACCUGGGAAUUGCAUUCGAGACUGCAUAGCUAGGGUGCGGAAGAGGGAAGCGGAAUUUCCGGUGUAGCGGUGAAAUGCGUAGAUAUCGGAAGGAACAUCAGUGGCGAAAGCGACUUCCUGGACCAAUACUGACGCUCAUGUGCGAAAGCGUGGGGAGCAAACAGG